CCCUUCUGCCAGUCAUAUGCUUGUCUUGAGGGUUAAGCCAUGCACGCCUAUGCUCACCCUAAACUGAAGGGGAAGCCGCGAACUGCUCAGUAUAUCGGCGACAAUACACGGGGUUGGCGAUGUUUGUCCGGACACCUGUAGGAAUCCCAGAGCUAAUACGUGCACACGAGUCCUCCUCCUCGCGUCGGCUUCGGCGUUCGCGUCGUGGUCGGUUAGGGAGAGGGCGCAUUUAUUAGGUUCUUGACCGGCGGUGGGUGGCUCGCGCUGCUCGCUUCGGCUGAGGCGAACUCUGGGUAUGUGACGACCGCUGUUAGUAGCGGCAGGCCCGUUUGCUCGCUGUCCCAUCAAAUUUAGACGGCCCGGGCAAUCGCCCCCCGUGUUGGCUACGGGUAACGGAGGAUCAGGGUUCGAUCCCGGAGAGGGAGCCUGCGAGACGGCUACCACGCUUAAGGGUGGCAGCAGGCGCGCAACUUACCCACUCCCAGACCGGUGAGGUAGUGAAGAUAAAUGUCGGGGCUGGGCUCGCAUGCGAGCCUAGCGGUCGGAUUGAGCGUAGACCAAACACGUGCCGUUGAUGACCUAUCGGAGGGCAAGCCUGGUGCCAGCAGCCGCGGUAAUUCCAGCUCCGAUGGCGUAUGUUGUAGUUGCUGCGUUUAAAACGCUCGUAGUUGGAUCUCAGAGGUGACGUGGGCGACACACCGCGGGUGGCGUUGUCUCGGUGAAUAUGCACCGUCGGGUUUCAGGGGGAUGGCAUUGUCGGUUCGGGCGCGCGGUGGCGCGGUCGGUGCUCGGUUUCGGCCGGGUAUCGGCUCGUCGCCCGUGUUCGGCCACGGCCAGACUCCGCCCGAUGGAUCUCGCCGGACAUCGCUCGCCCGUCGCCCACGGGUUGACGUCUCUUUCUGCCUCAGGGCCGCGCCGGCUGGGUACGUGGCGUAUCUCGGUCGGUGCUAUGGUACGGGCAGAGUUCUCCCUGAAUCAAUUGGAGUGCUCAAAGCAGGUCGUGCUCGCACAGCUUUGCUCGGAACGAUGUGAUGACGCCACCGAUCCGCUCUCGUCCUUUUCGACGGAAGUUUCUAAUAAAACGCGGGCCCGGUCGCCGCGGGAUCGGUGGGCGAGAUCAAUGGAGACGGCCGGGGGACGGCGUACUACCGCGGGAGGGGUGGAAUCCGACGAUCGCGGUGGGACGCACGAGAGCGAAGGCACCGUCCAAGAGCGCCUUCGUCGAUCAUGAACGAAAGUCGGAGGAACGAACGCGAUCAGGUACCGCGGUAGUUCCGACAGUAAACUAUGCCGACCGGUUACGCGGGGACGUCCCCAGUGGGGAAGCCCCUCGAGGCCCCCGGAGAAAUCAGAGUGCCUGGGCUCCGGGGGGGGUACGGUCGCAAGGCUGAAACUUAAAGGAAUUGACGGAAGGGCACCACCAGGAGUGGAGCCUGCGGCUCAAUUUGACUCAACACGGGGAAGCUUACCAGGUCCGGACACCGCGUGGAUUGACAGACUGAGGCUCUUUCAUGAUUCGGUGGGUGGUGGUGCAUGGCCGUUGCUAGCCCGUGGAGCGAUCCGUCUGGUUCAUUCCGAUAACGGGCGAGACUCUACCCUGGCGGAUAACACACGACGGUCGAGAGGGACACGUCUCAACGGGGGGAGCGGUCGCGGCGGGUGGCAGCGAUGCCGUUCGUCGUCCGUUCUCCACUCAGGGAGAGACGCUGUCCCGGACCGUCGUCGCGCAGGCCGCGUCCUGCAGGGAUUGACCUCGAGCAGUGCGUACGAGAUGGAGCCAUAACAGGUCUGUGAUGCCCUUAGACGUCCUGGGCUGCACGUGUGCUACAGUGGUGGCGCCAGCCGGUCGCGCUGUAGAGCGUGAGCGUAGGAGUCUUCAUGUCCGGGGUCGGUCUUCCUGCGAGUUGGGCCGUGAACUCGGAAUGCCACGUAGUCAUGGGUCAGCAUCCCGUGCCGACUACGUCCCUGCCCUUUGUACACACCGCCCGUCGCUACCUUCGGUGGACGGUACAGCCAGGAACCCGGAGUGGCUCGCGAUUCAAUCGCAGUGCCGCGAUGUCGUCCGAACUGCGCUGCCCCGAGAGGGUAAAAGUCGUAACAAGGUUACCGUAGGUGAACCUGCGGAAGGAUCAAGG
Molecule: ribosomal RNA, 2135 nt
Filed under: Favorinus sp. SB-2010
Lineage: Eukaryota; Metazoa; Mollusca; Gastropoda; Nudibranchia; Facelinidae
Description: partial 18S small subunit ribosomal RNA
Rfam family: Eukaryotic small subunit ribosomal RNA
Source: RNAcentral